This 284-nucleotide long non-coding RNA is filed under the name Elaeis guineensis (African oil palm). Its description in RNAcentral is "long non-coding RNA (EGUI_LNC005384)". The record is from RNAcentral. Lineage: Eukaryota; Viridiplantae; Streptophyta; Magnoliopsida; Arecales; Arecaceae.
UCACUGAAUUUAUGUUGAUAGGAGCGAGACUGGAUGGGCAAAUAUUGGAAACCUGCUUUUGUUGCUUGUGGUCUUCUCGAUCGAAGCAGCCAAUUCAUGCUGCAUGGCAUUGAAAUGGUGGAGGCUGGCUAGCUAGGUUCUUAAGAUUCUAUUUGUGCCGCAUGAAAUUACCCAAGAAUUCAAGAAGGAUGCUUUGCUUCAUCACAGUAAGAGACUGGCUAUUGCUCAAGACCUUAUGACUAUACCCCAGCACCUCUUUCUCAACCAUUUCAUGGAUAGCAUCG